Molecule: ribosomal RNA, 369 nt
Filed under: uncultured bacterium
Lineage: Bacteria
Description: bacterial SSU rRNA
Rfam family: Bacterial small subunit ribosomal RNA
Source: RNAcentral
GACGAACGCUGGCGGCGUGCUUAACACAUGCAAGUCGAACGGUAAGGCCCUUCGGGUACACGAGUGGCGAACGGGUGAGUAACACGUGGGUGAUCUGCCCUGCACUUCGGGAUAAGCUUGGGAAACUGGGUCUAAUACCGGAUAGGACCACGGUCUGCAUGGAUUGUGGUGGAAAGCUUUUGCGGUGUGGGAUGGGCCCGCGGCCUAUCAGCUUGUUGGUGGGGUGAUGGCCUACCAAGGCGACGACGGGUAGCCGGCCUGAGAGGGUGUCCGGCCACACUGGGACUGAGAUACGGCCCAGACUCCUACGGGAGGCAGCAGUGGGGAAUAUUGCACAAUGGGCGCAAGCCUGAUGCAGCGACGCCGCGU